RNAcentral lists this ribosomal RNA (441 nucleotides) under uncultured bacterium. RNAcentral's name for it is "SSU rRNA". It matches the Rfam family "Bacterial small subunit ribosomal RNA", at positions 370 to 808 of the family's 1533-position model. The record is from RNAcentral.
UAUGGGCGCGAGCCUGAACCAGCCAAGUAGCGUGAAGGAUGACUGCCCUAUGGGUUGUAAACUUCUUUUAUACGGGAAUAAAGUGAGGCACGUGUGCCUUUUUGUAUGUACCGUAUGAAUAAGGAUCGGCUAACUCCGUGCCAGCAGCCGCGGUAAUACGGAGGAUCCGAGCGUUAUCCGGAUUUAUUGGGUUUAAAGGGAGCGUAGGCGGACGCUUAAGUCAGUUGUGAAAGUUUGCGGCUCAACCGUAAAAUUGCAGUUGAUACUGGGUGUCUUGAGUACAGUAGAGGCAGGCGGAAUUCGUGGUGUAGCGGUGAAAUGCUUAGAUAUCACGAAGAACUCCGAUUGCGAAGGCAGCCUGCUGGACUGUAACUGACGCUGAUGCUCGAAAGUGUGGGUAUCAAACAGGAUUAGAUACCCUGGUAGUCCAAGGGCGAAUUC